Long non-coding RNA from Numida meleagris (helmeted guineafowl), 1313 nucleotides. RefSeq lists it as uncharacterized. The record is from RefSeq and is a predicted model, not a curated record. Lineage: Eukaryota; Metazoa; Chordata; Aves; Galliformes; Numididae. The transcript is spliced from 3 exons.
CCCAUUGCAUUUAGAGGAGGAUUUUUGGCUACAGUGUUGCUGUCAUGUUGAGGGUUUCACUCUCUUCAGGUGAAAUUCACCUCUGUGCCGAGGAACCUGACAGAUGAGUGGAACUGGAUAAAGGUGGGAAUGAAGGGAGCAGGAGGCCUUUGUCUUAUUUAAUGCCUUAGAUGCUAAUGAGAGUCCUGCAUUGCUUUUUUGUACUGCUUCCUACUUGGGUUUUGAGCCAGAAGGACAAAUGAAAACUAAGUUUACACCUAUGUAUAAUGUCAAGGAAACAUUUUGUUCCCUUUGUGUGUUCAAUGGGAUGGCUUCUGUACACAACAUCAAAUGUGUGCAUAAUCAUCUUUCUGCCCUCUAUCACCAGAAUUGUGCCCUGGAUCUCAUGAGCUGAGAACAUGAGUCACAGCACUCCUCAAAACAAUGGUGUCCUUGUGACAGUAGCAGUUCUGGAGUUUGAAGGGAUUUUGACACACAGCUGUAUAACCAGUGCUGAUCAGGGAGAUACACGUGCACAGAUUUUUUUUUUUUCUUUCUUUCCUUAUUUCAAGAUUGUAGAGCUGGAAGGGCUGCUCUAUCUUGUCAGCUCUCCUGCAAGAACAGAGGAGACUGCAGAGUCAGGGCCUAAGGUUAUCGCUGGAGAAGGUGUUAGACUCCUCUUGCUGGACUUCUGGUGUUGUGGGAAGUCUUUGCUUUCUGAGUUACUAAAGUAGACAACUGCUGAAUUAAAAAAUAAAUAAAUAUAUAUAUGAGAAGACAUCAAGGAGGCUAUGUAGAGAGAGAGCAGCAACACAGACCCUGUGGGUCCUGCUGGAUUGCUAAACUGGAUCCAAUCUCACUGUGGCUUCCAUACCUGCAGAAUCCUGUGGUCCUACAUGCACACCGGACUCUCGAGAAGAUUUCUUGUGCUGUCCAGGUAACAGCGGAUUCCAAAAGGCGGUAAAAGGAGCCCUGUUCUCUGUAUCUCUCCUGGACACUGGGAGGAGGGAUGCCCGACCCCACAGCCAGCUGGCAGAAGAUGUGGUGCUCUUGGGAGCUGCACACAAGUGGCCAUCAGGCCACCAGGAACAGGCUUUGCUGAAGGUGACGACUACCUUCCCCAGGGACUGUUGGUCCAGAUGCUCCAGAAGAAGCGGCCCGAAGGCGUCCUCCAAGGCCAGCCAGUGCUCAGCACCAUCUGGACAUCACCCUCAGCCCCAUUUCCAAAUCAGCACCCUCUCUCCCUCCUGAAAAACUGUACCUUGGGUUGUCAGGGGAAUCAUCUGUCACAUCUGCCAUCUCAGAAAUCUACACAAUCACACACUCGGCGGAUA